CUUGAGAGAGUGAACGGCCACAUUUGGACUGAGACACGGCCCAAACUCCUACGGGAGGCAGCAGUGGGGAAUAUUGCACAAUGGGGGAAACCCCUGAUGCAGAGACGCCGCGUGAAGGAAGAAGUAUUUCGGUAUGUAAACUUCUAUCAGUAGGGAAGAUAAUGACGGUACCUGACUAAGUAGCUCCGGCUAAAUACGUGCCAGC
This 205-nucleotide ribosomal RNA is filed under the name uncultured Clostridiaceae bacterium. RNAcentral's name for it is "partial 16S ribosomal RNA". It matches the Rfam family "Bacterial small subunit ribosomal RNA", at positions 291 to 512 of the family's 1533-position model. The record is from RNAcentral. Lineage: Bacteria; Bacillati; Bacillota; Clostridia; Eubacteriales; Clostridiaceae.